GGGUUCAAUCAUACCAGUACUAAUGCACCGGAUCCCAUCAGAACUCCGCAGUUAAGCUUUUGGGUAAGAAUAGUACUAACAUGGGCUUUCUCACAGGACUUUCACAGACACA
This 112-nucleotide ribosomal RNA is filed under the name Cephalotus follicularis. Lineage: Eukaryota; Viridiplantae; Streptophyta; Magnoliopsida; Oxalidales; Cephalotaceae. The record is from RNAcentral.